Molecule: ribosomal RNA, 468 nt
Filed under: uncultured bacterium
Lineage: Bacteria
Description: partial 16S ribosomal RNA
Rfam family: Bacterial small subunit ribosomal RNA
Source: RNAcentral
GACGAACGCUGGCGGCGUGCUUAACACAUGCAAGUCGAACGGAAAGGCCCUGCUUUUGUGGGGUUCUCGAGUGGCGAACGGGUGAGUAACACGUGAGUAACCUGCCCUUGACUUUGGGAUAACUUCAGGAAACUGGGGCUAAUACCGGAUAGGAGCUCCUGCUGCAUGGUGGGGGUUGGAAAGUUUCGGCGGUUGGGGCUGGACUCGCGGCUUAUCAGCUUGUUGGUGGGGUAGUGGCUUACCAAGGCUUUGACGGGUAGCCGGCCUGAGAGGGUGACCGGCCACAAUAGGACUGAGAUACGGCGCAGACGCCUACGGGAGGCAGCAGUGGGGAAUAUUGCACAAUGGGCGGAAGCCUGAUGCAGCAACGCCGGGUGCGGGAUGACGGCCUUCGGGUUGUAAACCGCUUUCGCCUGUGACGAAGCGUGAGUGACGGUAAUGGGUAAAGAAGCACCGGCUAACUACGUG